AAGCUGCGAUACGUAGUGUGAAUUGCAGAAUCCGUGAAUCAUCGAAUUCUUGAACGCAAAUGGCGCUUCCCGGCUUGCCGGGAAGCAUGUCUGUUUCAGUGUCAUUUUCCUAAACUCACACCCUCUAUGGGGAUGUGGAGCUGAGGGUCACGCUUCCACGAAGCGGGUCCCUUGAAGGGCAGUGACGUGGGCCCGAGGCCUUUGGUGGUUCCGCUAGCCGCUGUGGUGGUAGAGAUCGUUGCAUUUCAACAACGCAGAGGUGGAAACGACCUGGGGCAGCGACGCUCGUGGCGAAAUAUCCAUCAAUAUAUGACCUGAAAUCAGGCAAGAUGACCCGCUGGACUUAA
This 347-nucleotide unclassified non-coding RNA is filed under the name uncultured Glomeraceae. RNAcentral's name for it is "sequence contains ITS1". The stretch from base 1 to 104 matches the Rfam family "5.8S ribosomal RNA", at positions 50 to 154 of the family's 154-position model. The record is from RNAcentral. Lineage: Eukaryota; Fungi; Glomeromycota; Glomeromycetes; Glomerales; Glomeraceae.